CGCGCAGGCGGUCGUUCAAGUCGAGUGUGAAAGCCCCCGGCUCAACUGGGGAGGGUCAUUCGAUACUGAUCGACUGGAAGGCAGGAGAGGGAAGCGGAAUUCCCGGUGUAGUGGUGAAAUGCGUAGAUAUCGGGAGGAACACCAGUGGCGAAGGCGGCUUCCUGGCCUGUUCUUGACGCUGAGGCGCGAAAGCUAGGGGAGCAAACGG
RNAcentral lists this ribosomal RNA (208 nucleotides) under uncultured bacterium. Its description in RNAcentral is "partial 16S ribosomal RNA". It matches the Rfam family "Bacterial small subunit ribosomal RNA", at positions 568 to 775 of the family's 1533-position model. The record is from RNAcentral.